GAUGAACGCUGGCGGCGUGCCUAAUACAUGCAAGUCGAGCGAACGGACGAGAAGCUUGCUUCUCUGAUGUUAGCGGCGGACGGGUGAGUAACACGUGGAUAACCUACCUAUAAGACUGGGAUAACUUCGGGAAACCGGAGCUAAUACCGGAUGAUAUUUUGAACCGCAUGGUUCAAAAGUGAAAGACGGUCUUGCUGUCACUUAUAGAUGGAUCCGCGCUGCAUUAGCUAGUUGGUAAGGUAACGGCUUACCAAGGCAACGAUGCAUAGCCGACCUGAGAGGGUGAUCGGCCACACUGGAACUGGGACACGGUCCAGACUCCUACGGGAGGCAGCAGUAGGGAAUCUUCCGCAAUGGGCGAAAGCCUGACGGAGCAACGCCGCGUGAGUGAUGAUGGUCUUCGGAUCGUAAAACUCUGUUAUUAGGGAAGAACAUAUGUGUAAGUAACUGUGCACAUCUUGACGGUACCUAAUCAGAAAGCCACGGCUAACUACGUG
This 497-nucleotide ribosomal RNA is filed under the name uncultured bacterium. Its description in RNAcentral is "partial 16S ribosomal RNA". It matches the Rfam family "Bacterial small subunit ribosomal RNA", at positions 28 to 507 of the family's 1533-position model. The record is from RNAcentral.